CAGAGUUCCUGCCCUCACGGGUAGAAACCCCACCCUUGUAUAUUAUAUAUUGUUGCUUUGGCGGGCCGCCCUCACGGGCACCGGCUCACGCUGGCUCGCGCCCGCCGAAGGACCCCAAACUCUGAAUGUUAGUGUCGUCUGAGUACUAUACAAUAGUUA
Molecule: unclassified non-coding RNA, 159 nt
Filed under: uncultured Roesleria
Lineage: Eukaryota; Fungi; Ascomycota; Leotiomycetes; Helotiales
Description: sequence contains ITS1
Source: RNAcentral